Molecule: long non-coding RNA, 898 nt
Filed under: Felis catus (domestic cat)
Lineage: Eukaryota; Metazoa; Chordata; Mammalia; Carnivora; Felidae
Description: lncRNA (ENSFCAG00000045678.2)
Source: RNAcentral
UUCCUUUGUUUAUUUUAAUUUUUUUUAUGUAUAUGACUCCUGUGUUUUUCUAUUUUUUAUUAUUUUGCAGAUUGAUUUAUAUGAAAAUACUGGACACUACUGUGAGAACUGAAUUGAAGUUCAUGGCUGCAGUUAUAAUUCAGGUGAACUACAGGAAAAGGACUGCCAGUCAAGGAGAUUUAGAAAAUGUGUGUGAAAACGGAUGGCUUUUUUGCAGAAGCUAAUUAGCGUAUUGACAAAUGCGACAAACCAACCUUGUAAAUAGUGUUUCUUCCAGUUGCCCCAGGUAUAAAGUUAUGCAAGGUGAGAAUUCAAGAGCCUAGGUUGUCCUGAUUUGCCUACAUUCAAGGGAGGGUGAUAUUAUGUGUUGAAUUGCAUCCUCCCAAAAGAUACGUUGAAUCAUAACCAUCAGUACCUGUGAAUGUGACUUUAUUUGGAAAUAGGGUCUUUGCAAAUAUAGUCGAAGUAAGAUGAGGUCAUAGUGGAUUAGGGUGGGCCCUAACUCAAUAUGACAGGUGUCCUUGUAAGAAGAGACGAGACACUGGAGAGCUCUGGCCAUGUGAAGACGGAGGCCACAUGUCACAUGUUAAGGAAUGCCUGGGACUAACAGAAGCUGCAAGAGGCAAGGAAGGAGCCUCUCCUAGAGACUUCAGAGGGAGCAUAGCCCUGCCAACACGUUGAGUUCAGACUUCUAGCCUCCAGAAGCCUGAGACUAACUUCGUGUUAUUUUAAGCCACCUGAUUUGUGAUACUUUGUUAUCGCGGCCCUGGGAAUCUACAGGUGAUAAAACAGUUUUAUUUUUUAGGGGACAGUAUCUGUUUCACCUGGCUGAAGCUUCUUUGCUUUCAGGAAUCUCAGUGAGUUUCUCAACUUUUCUUUCCAAAACGGAGGUCCUCAC